Molecule: long non-coding RNA, 746 nt
Organism: Populus trichocarpa (black cottonwood)
Lineage: Eukaryota; Viridiplantae; Streptophyta; Magnoliopsida; Malpighiales; Salicaceae
Exons: 2
Source: RefSeq, a predicted model, not a curated record
GAAAAAUAAUAUGACUCUCCAUUAAUCUUUCUUCUGAACUUGUAGCAACUUCCCCUCCUUUCAUUGACCCUUGUCCUGAAGGGUAAAUGAUGGAAAUCGCAAUUCCAUCACUGGCAAACUCCCAGGUGGUUCCUGAAGGUGUAUGGUCGUCUAGUGAACGAGCAUAUUUACUAAACUUCUCUACCACCACAAAGAUAACCGUUUUCCUAAACCAAUUUCGUGUUAUUCAGGACCUACGCUCGGGGAAGAUGAUUGGGAAGGGAAUUGAACGGGAGGGUCUUUUCUACCUCAACCAAGCUAAGAAAACAACGCGCAACCCAUUCUCAGACUUCUAACCUAGACCGAUGGCAUCAACGACCUGGGCACCCCUCCUCAAACAAAGUUUCCCAGCUAUUCCCAGGUUGAGUUUGGCCUUCCAUUUUCGGAGAGUAGACACAGAUAUUUAAGAUCCAUACACGAACAAUGAAUUGUGAAAGGGAGAUCCGGUUUGAUCUUUUGGCUCGGCUUUCUCAGAAUUCAACAGGGGCUCAUUCAGGUGACCGGGCGGUGGAAACUUGGUUAAAAUCUGAGGUUGCAGCCAUGGUGCUAUCAUCUGUGUGGUGUGUGUGUGCGCGUGAAUAGUAUAGUAUAUCUCUUGCUGGUUCUUUCUUUGACGAAAACAUAUCGGAUUCUCCCUAUCCUCCAUUUUCAUUGUCGCUUCAAAAUGUAUUUUUUUUUAAAUAUACAUGAAAAUAAUAUUUUUUUUA